GUACGAACUGGGAAGGACCUUAGGUGAGGGCACUUUCGCUAAGGUCAAGUUUGCCAAGAAUGUCGACACUGGCGAUUGCGUCGCCAUUAAAAUCCUUGAUCGUGAGCAAGUCCUUCGUCUGAAGAUGGUCGAACAGUUGAAAAGAGAAAUAUCAACAAUGAAGCUGAUCAAACAUCCGAAUGUCAUCAAAAUCUAUGAGGUUAUGGCCAGCAAAACAAAGAUUUACAUUGUUCUUGAGUUUGUUGAUGGAGGGGAGCUUUUUGACAAAAUUGCAAGGUACGGGAGACUUAAAGAGGAUGAAGCCAGGAGAUAUUUCCACCAGCUUAUCAAUGCUGUUGAUUACUGUCACAGUAGAGGAGUGUCGCAUAGAGAUUUGAAGCCUGAGAACCUUCUUCUUGAUUCACUUGGCGUUCUUAAAGUUUCAGAUUUUGGACUGAGUGCAGUAUUGUCGAAGCAAAUACGGGGGGAUGGACUGCUUCACACUGCCUGCGGAACCCCAAAUUAUGUUGCCCCUGAGGUUCUCAAAGACAAAGGUUAUGAUGGUACAGGCUCUGAUGUUUGGUC
RNAcentral lists this unclassified non-coding RNA (564 nucleotides) under Hevea brasiliensis (rubber tree). The record is from RNAcentral. Lineage: Eukaryota; Viridiplantae; Streptophyta; Magnoliopsida; Malpighiales; Euphorbiaceae.